CCAAGGGGAGGGAACCAAGAAGAAAACCCCGGCCUAACUCGGUGCCGGGACCCGCGGUAAAAUUGGGGGGGCGACGUUUUCGCGAUUUUUUGGGCGUAAAGGGGGCGCGAGGGGAAUUUAAAGUGGGGGUGAAAACCCGGGGGUCCACCUGGGCGGCAUAUUACAAUGUGAGAUCGAGAACCCAGAGGGAAAAGUAAUUUCCCAGUAGCGGUGAAAAACGCAGUAGAUAUCUGGAACACCAGUGUCGAGAGCGGCUCUCUGUGGCGUGUCAGCUGCGCAGACGCGAAAACGUGUGGAGCACACACGAGUAGAGAUCCUCGUGGUGCACGCCGUGUACGAUGAGUACUAGAUGUGUGGGGUGUCUAUACCCCCUGUGCCGCAGAUAUCACACUAAGCAUUCCGCCUCGGGAGAACGCUCGCGAGACUGUAACUCUCAGGAGUUGUCGCGGGGCCGCACAAGCAGUGGAGUAUGUGGUGUAAUUUGAAGCACCGCGCAGAGCCUUUUCACGUCUUGACAUCUGAAUGACCGUCCUAGAGAUAGGGCUAACCCUCCGGACAUUCGAGACAGGUGGUGCAUGGUUGUCGUCAGCUCGUGUCGUGAGAUGUUGGGUUAAGUUCCGCAACGAGCGCAACCCUUAACUUUAGUUGCCAGCAUUUAGUUGGGCACUCUAAAUUAGCCGCCCGGGGUAAACCGGAGGAAGGUGGGGAUGACGUCAAAUCAUCAUGCCCCUUAUGACCUGGGCUACACACGUACUACAAUGGUCGGUACAACAGGAAGCGAAGCCGCGAGGUGGAGCCAAACCUAAAAAACCGAUCUCAGUUCGGAUUGUAGGCUGCAACUCGCCUACAUGAAGCCGGAGUUGCUAGUAAUCGCGAAUCAGCAUGUCGCGGUGAAUACGUUCCCGGGCCUUGUACACACCGCCCGUCACACCACGAGAGUUGGCAACACCCGAAGUCGCUAGAGGUAACCGCAAGGAGCCAGCCG
RNAcentral lists this ribosomal RNA (985 nucleotides) under Paenibacillus alvei. Its description in RNAcentral is "bacterial SSU rRNA". It matches the Rfam family "Bacterial small subunit ribosomal RNA", at positions 464 to 1455 of the family's 1533-position model. The record is from RNAcentral. Lineage: Bacteria; Bacillati; Bacillota; Bacilli; Caryophanales; Paenibacillaceae.